RNAcentral lists this long non-coding RNA (1616 nucleotides) under Marmota monax (woodchuck). The record is from RNAcentral. Lineage: Eukaryota; Metazoa; Chordata; Mammalia; Rodentia; Sciuridae.
CUGUGGAAAACAAUGUGGAGGUCUUCAGGAAUCUAAAACUGGAGUUACCAUGUGAGUCCUAAUCCCACUUUUGGGUAUACAGCCAAAAGAAUUGAAAGCAGACUCUCAAAAAUUACUUGCAAACCUAUGUUCAUUUCAGCAUUAUUCACAACAGCCAAGACACAGAAGCAAAUACCAUUUACAUAUAAAUGGGCACAGAAAAUGUGUUACAUUCAUACAGAGGAAUAUUAUGUCACCUUGAAACAGAAGGAAAUCUUAUCAUGGGCUACAACAUGAAUGAGCCUUAUGCUGAGUGAAAUGGGCUUGUCACCAAGGACCAUAUGAUUCCGCUAAUAUUUAUUUAUCUAGUUAUUUUGGUACUGAGGAUCCAAUCCUCAGAUGCUUUACCACUGAGCUACAUCCUCAGCCCUUUUUAUUUUUCUAAAAUAACAACUAGAUAAAAACUAAAAUAUCUAAGUUUCUGAGGGUCUCUCUAAGUGGCUGAGGCUGGCCUUGAACUUGAGAUCCUCCUGCCUCAGCCUCCUGAGUGCAGGAACUACAGGCAUGUGCUGCCACACCCAGCUGGCUUAUAUUUAGAGCAGUCAAAUUAUGAAACAGGAAGUAGGAUGGUGGUUGCCAGUGCUGGGGGUCGGGGGAGAGGGGAUUGUUUGGUAGGUUUAGAGUUGCAAUUUUGCAAGAUGAAAACUUCUAGAGAUCUGCUUUUUUUUUGAGACAGGGCCUCAACUUUGUUGCCCAGACUGGUCCUGAGUACAUGGGCUCAACUGAUCCUCCUGCCACAGCCCCCGAAUAGCUUGACUACAGGUGUGCACCACCACACUUGGCUAAAGGUCUAUUACACAACAAUGUGAAUACAGUUAGUGCUACUGAACUCAAAACUGGUUCAACACACACACACGUGUGUGCGUGUGUGCGCGCGCGUGUGUGUGUGUGUGGGGGGGCACGCACGCAUCUGUAUCUCAAAGCAAUUGAAAGUAAAAAAGAAAGAAAGAAAAAGAAAGACAGAAAGAAGACAUUUAAGUGCUUGAAUAUGCCUGAGCACAAACUGCCAUCAGUGCCACUCCUCGGGUCAAAGGCCAGGUAAGUGCUCACUGGGUAAAAAUUCUCAGAAAGCAGGUCUGACAUCAAUACAGAAAACACCUUUACAGGCCCAGUGCCCAGCUUGAAGGAGCUGGUGAGGAGCGAGCUGCAGGACUGGACAGCGCUGCCCGUCACUGCUGGGCCGGCCCGGAAACAUCCGGGCUCCGAUGCUGGUGGGCUUUCAAGGCAGUUCUGCAGAUUUGAGAUCUGAAACCACAAAAGUGGGCUGAGGAGCAACAGGAGAGCAGAAGGUCAGCGUGCACAGCUUCCACUGGCCACGAGAUGAACCGCUGAAGCCACAGGGACACGGGCUGGAGCAGGAAGGGCUGGACAGCUACGCAAGGGGCCCUGGUGGCUAGGGCUGUGGCCUCCGAGGGAGCACAGAAAUGGAGCAGCCAAGGCCUAGGGUGAGAGGGAGAGGUCGUCCAGGGAGGGCAGCACCCCUGCCCUCGCAGCUUCCUGGGCCAGACAAGAAGACACUGGGUCUCCUGGUGUGAUGCAGCCAGAGGGCAGUGCCACCUACAAAGGGACACUUGCAA